UGGGGAAUUUUGGACAAUGGGGGCAACCCUGAUCCAGCGACGCCGCGUGGAGGACGAAGGUCUUCGGAUUGUAAACUCCUUUUUGGGGGACGGAAUGACCUGGCGAAAAGCCAGGAGUGACUGGUACCUCAGAAUAAGCCACGGCUAACUUCGUGCCAGCAGCCGCGGUAAUACGAAGGUGGCAAGCGUUACUCGGAAUUACUAGGCGUAAAGCGCAGGUAGGCGGUUCGAUAAGUCUUUUGUGAAAGCUCCCGGCUUAACUGGGAGAGGUCAAAGGAAACUAUCGGGCUAGAGUGUGGUAGAGGAUACUGGAAUUCCCGGUGUAGCGGUGAAAUGCGUAGAUAUCGGGAGGAAUACCUAUGGCGAAAGCAGGUAUCUGGGCCAUCACUGACGCUGAGCUGCGAAAGCUAGGGGAGCAAACAGG
Molecule: ribosomal RNA, 424 nt
Filed under: uncultured bacterium
Lineage: Bacteria
Description: bacterial SSU rRNA
Rfam family: Bacterial small subunit ribosomal RNA
Source: RNAcentral